GUGGGGAAUUUUGGACAAUGGGGGCAACCCUGAUCCAGCCAUGCCGCGUGCGGGAAGAAGGCCUUCGGGUUGUAAACCGCUUUUGGUCGGGAAGAAAAGGCAUCGCCUAAUAGGGGGUGUUCUUGACGGUACCGGCAGAAUAAGCACCGGCUAACUACGUGCCAGCAGCCGCGGUAAUACGUAGGGUGCGAGCGUUAAUCGGAAUUACUGGGCGUAAAGCGUGCGCAGGCGGUUCGUUAAGUUCGUUGUGAAAGCCCCGGGCUCAACCUGGGAACGGCAAUGGAAACUGGCGGGCUGGAGUGUGGCAGAGGGGGGUGGAAUUCCACGUGUAGCAGUGAAAUGCGUAGAGAUGUGGAGGAACACCGAUGGCGAAGGCAGCCCCCUGGGCCAACACUGACGCUCAGGCACGAAAGCGUGGGGAGCAAACAGGAUUAGAAACCCUUGUAGUCC
Molecule: ribosomal RNA, 450 nt
Filed under: uncultured bacterium
Lineage: Bacteria
Description: bacterial SSU rRNA
Rfam family: Bacterial small subunit ribosomal RNA
Source: RNAcentral